Molecule: RNA transcript, 2797 nt
Organism: Lycium ferocissimum
Lineage: Eukaryota; Viridiplantae; Streptophyta; Magnoliopsida; Solanales; Solanaceae
Gene name: dynamin-related protein 5A
Exons: 9
Source: RefSeq, a predicted model, not a curated record
UUGAAUCCCAUAUUUGGCUCGUAGGCUCCUACUUUCCUCCAUUGUUACGCUCCAUUAACAAUGGCUACGCCAACCAAAACCCCAACUAGUACUUCCAUUUCCAAAAAACACCACCACAACAAGCACCAUUCAUCCGAUCCAAACAGAUCGAGUUCCGAAUUCAAGGACCGAUUCGAAGCCUACAAUCGCCUUCAAGCAGCCGCCGUGGCGUUCGGUGAGAAACUUCCGAUUCCUGAAAUAGUUGCCAUUGGCGGACAAUCUGAUGGGAAAAGUUCACUCCUUGAAGCCUUAUUGGGUUUCCGGUUCAAUGUUCGAGAAGUUGAAAUGGGUACCCGAAGACCUCUUAUAAUGCAAAUGGUUCAUGACCCGACCGCUUUAGAGCCUCGUUGCCGCUUUCAGGAGGAGGAUUCAGAAGAAUAUGGAAGUCCUAUUGUCUUGGCCUCUGCAAUUGCGGAUACCAUAAAGUCUCGGACUGAAUCACUUUUGAAAAGGACUAGAGCCGCAGUCUCUUCACAGCCCAUUGUGAUGAGAGCAGAAUAUGCCCAUUGUCCUAAUCUUACAAUCAUUGAUACACCUGGCUUUGUUCUAAAAGCGAAGAAAGGUGAACCAGAGAGAACACCUGAUGAGAUUUUAUCCAUGGUGAAGUCACUAGCCAGUCCGCCCCAUCGAAUUAUUCUGUUCCUUCAGCAAAGCAGUGUGGAAUGGUGCUCAUCUUUAUGGCUGGACACUAUUAGAGAGAUUGAUCCAACCUUUAGGAGGACAGUGAUUGUUGUCUCCAAAUUCGAUAACCGGCUCAAGGAGUUCACUGACCGCUGGGAAGUAGAUCGGUAUUUGAGUGCAAGUGGUUAUCUUGGGGAGAAUACUCGUCCCUUUUUUGUCGCCUUGCCUAAGGAUCGAGGCACAAUUUCCAAUGAUGAGUUUCGCCGUCAAAUAUCUCAAGUGGACGCAGAGAUGUUACACUAUUUGCGUGAUAGUGUUAAAGGUGGGUUUGAUGAAGACAAAUACAGGUCCUAUAUUGGGUUUGGUUGUCUAAGAGAUUUUUUGGAGGCUGAGCUCCAGAGAAGAUACAAAGAAGCUGCACCAGCAACACUUGCUCUGCUUGAACAGCGAUGUGGCGAAGUCACUGCUGAAAUAGCUAGAAUGGAGUGCAAGAUAAAUGCAACAUCUGAUGUUGCACAUCUUCGGAAAUCUGCCAUGUUGCAUGCUGCCACUUUAUGCAAUCAUGUGGAGGCACUUAUUGAUGGUGCAGCAGAUCCAGCCCCUGAGCAAUGGGGGAAAACAACCGAGGAGGAACGGUCAGAGAGCGGUAUCGGCAGUUGGCCUAGUGUUAUAGCUGAGAUUAAACCUCCAAAUGCGACCCUUCGCCUUUAUGGUGGUGCUGCCUUUGAGAGGGUGAUGCAUGAAUUCCGAUGCGCAACAUAUUCAAUUAAAUGUCCCCCUGUGUCAAGGGAGAAGGUGGCUAACAUUUUGCUUGCUCAUACUGGCCGUGGUGGGGGUAGAGGAAUUACUGAGGCAGCGGCAGAGAUUGCACGAGCUGCAGCUCGAUCUUGGCUUGCUCCUCUUCUUGACACAGCUUGUGAUCGUUUGGCCUUUGUUUUGGGCAACCUCUUCGAGAUUUCUAUUGAGAAAAAUCAUGGACAUGACUCCAACCAUGGACAUAGAUCAGUGGAUAUGGAAGGAUACAUUGGUUUUCAUGCCGCUCUAAGGCAAUCCUACAACCAUUUCAUGAAAGAUCUAUCCAAAGAGUGCAAACAACUACUCCGUCAUCAUCUUGAUUCAGUUACAAGCCCAUAUUCUCAUGUCUGCUACGAGAACAACUUCAUAAUCGGGAGUUUCUCCUCUGGCUCAAUGUACCAAUUAAAUCAAGCCUCAGCUGGUCCAUUAUGUCUCGAGCUAUCUGAUGGGGGGCCUGCAUUGCGCAAAGAAGCUAUGAAAGGCCAAGAAAACUUGCCCCCUGAAAAAAAUACUCAGGAAAUCACACCUGGAAAAGUUACAGAAAACAGGGAGGCCCUACGAGAAUGCCAAAUGACUGUGCCCGAAACCCCAUCUCCUGACCAACCUUCCGAUGGAAAUUAUGGUAUCAAAAGAGAACUUGGAAAUUGUGUCGAGGUUGGAGCAAGAAAACGCCACCCUAGGAUUACAGGCAAUGCUAGAAAUAUUGGCCAAAAUGGUGAGAGCCUAUUGUUUGGGAAUGGGGACAACAUAUCAAGACCGGUCUCUACUUAUGCAGAGAUAUGCUCAUCAGCUGCCCAGCAUUUUGCUCGCAUACGUGAAGUUCUGGUAGAGCGCAGCGUGGCAUCAACAUUGAAUUCUGGAUUUUUAACUCCAUGUCGAGAACGGCUUUUUGUAGCACUUGGGUUGGACUUGUUUGCUGUAAAUGAUGAAAAAUUCAUGGACAUGUUUGUCGCACCUGGAGCUAUAGAUUCUCUAGAAAAUGAGCGGCAAUCACUUCAGAAGCGACAGAAAAUCCUGCAUUCUUGCUUGAAUGAGUUCAAAAGUGUGGCUAGAGCACUUUGACAGAUAACCAAUUUUCAGUUAUUUGUCAUUGUUGGCUGACAGCUUAUUUGGCUUCACAUCUGGUGAAUCCAACUAUGCUCAGUCCUUUGAUGAUUGAAGCAAAGUGCAAAUGUAUUGGAAAAGCUUUCAUGUUUCAACAUUGUAUAACUUCCUUGAAAUGAUGGUGAUCAUAACGUCUAAAGAAAAUUUCAGCUUUAAUCCCUCCUUUAUACUCUAUAUGUACUGUUUAUCUUGUAAUUGUUGGAUCUUGCACAUUUUAGUUCCAAUUUGUCAAAGUGUG